Molecule: ribosomal RNA, 452 nt
Filed under: uncultured bacterium
Lineage: Bacteria
Description: bacterial SSU rRNA
Rfam family: Bacterial small subunit ribosomal RNA
Source: RNAcentral
UACGGGAGGCAGCAGUGGGGAAUAUUGCACAAUGGGCGCAAGCCUGAUGCAGCCAUGCCGCGUGUAUGAAGAAGGCCUUCGGGUUGUAAAGUACUUUCAGUCGUGAGGAAGGUGUUAAGGUUAAUAACCUUAGCAAUUGACGUUAGCGACAGAAGAAGCACCGGCUAACUCCGUGCCAGCAGCCGCGGUAAUACGGAGGGUGCGAGCGUUAAUCGGAAUUACUGGGCGUAAAGGGCACGCAGGCGGUUAAUUAAGUUGGAUGUGAAAUCCCCGGGCUUAACCUGGGAAUGGCAUUCAAGACUGGUUAGCUAGAGUCUUGUAGAGGGGGUAGAAUUCCAUGUGUAGCGGUGAAAUGCGUAGAGAUGUGGAGGAAUACCGGUGGCGAAGGCGGCCCCUGGACAAAGCUGACGCUCAUGCGCGAAAGCGUGGGGAGCAAACAGGGAUUAGAUACC